UUGGGAUAGGCUUGCGUCUGAUUAGCUUAGUUGUGUGGUAACGGCACACCAAGGCCACGAUCAGUAACUGGUCUGAGAGGAUGAUCAGUCACACUGGAACUGAGACACGGUCCAGUCUCCUACGGGGAGGCAGCAGUGAGGAAUAUUGGGCAAUGCUCGAAAGAGUGACCCAGCAACGCCGCGUGGAGGAUGAAGGUAUUCUAUAUCGUAAACUCCUGUGAGAGCAGACGAAAGACAGAUUAUUAAUCUGGAUGACUGUAUGCUCAGAGGAAGCCCCGGCUAACUACGUG
RNAcentral lists this ribosomal RNA (290 nucleotides) under uncultured bacterium. Its description in RNAcentral is "partial 16S ribosomal RNA". It matches the Rfam family "Bacterial small subunit ribosomal RNA", at positions 220 to 507 of the family's 1533-position model. The record is from RNAcentral.